RNAcentral lists this transfer RNA (76 nucleotides) under Acinetobacter sp. RNAcentral describes it as "tRNA-Asn". It matches the Rfam family "tRNA". From Rfam's summary of the family: Transfer RNA (tRNA) molecules are approximately 80 nucleotides in length. Their secondary structure includes four short double-helical elements and three loops (D, anti-codon, and T loops). RNAcentral also lists the same sequence under 7 other names. The record is from RNAcentral. Lineage: Bacteria; Pseudomonadati; Pseudomonadota; Gammaproteobacteria; Moraxellales; Moraxellaceae.
UCUUCCAUAGCUCAGUCGGUAGAGCGACGGACUGUUAAUCCGCAGGUCCCUGGUUCGAACCCAGGUGGAAGAGCCA